GCGCUGGUGGUCUAGUGGUUAUGACACAGCCUUGCCAAGGCUGUUGCCCGGGUUCGAAUCCCGGCCAGCGCA
This 72-nucleotide transfer RNA is filed under the name Candidatus Woesearchaeota archaeon. RNAcentral describes it as "tRNA-Gly". It matches the Rfam family "tRNA". Rfam says of the family: Transfer RNA (tRNA) molecules are approximately 80 nucleotides in length. Their secondary structure includes four short double-helical elements and three loops (D, anti-codon, and T loops). The record is from RNAcentral. Lineage: Archaea; Nanobdellati; Candidatus Woesearchaeota.